Euleptes europaea (tarantolino) is the source of this 72-nucleotide small nucleolar RNA. RefSeq annotates it as small nucleolar RNA SNORD18. The transcript has a single exon. The record is from RefSeq and is a predicted model, not a curated record. NCBI's taxonomy places the organism in Eukaryota, Metazoa, Chordata, Lepidosauria, Squamata, Sphaerodactylidae.
CAGAAAUGAUGAAAUUCUACUUCAUUGGUCCGUGUUUUUGAGUUUUCUGAUAACAGUGGAAGUUCUGGUGGU